RNAcentral lists this ribosomal RNA (471 nucleotides) under uncultured organism. Its description in RNAcentral is "partial 16S ribosomal RNA". It matches the Rfam family "Bacterial small subunit ribosomal RNA", at positions 334 to 797 of the family's 1533-position model. The record is from RNAcentral.
CACUCCUGCGGGAGGCAGCAGUGGGGAAUUUUGGACCAUGGGCGAAAGCCUGAUCCAGCAAUGCCGCGUGAGUGAAGAAGGCCUUCGGGUUGUAAAGCUCUUUUGUCAGGGAAGAAACGGUGAAAGCUAAUAUCUUUUGCUAAUGACGGUACCUGAAGAAUAAGCACCGGCUAACUACGUGCCAGCAGCCGCGGUAAUACGUAGGGUGCAAGCGUUAAUCGGAAUUACUGGGCGUAAAGCGUGCGCAGGCGGUUUUGUAAGUCUGAUGUGAAAUCCCCGGGCUCAACCUGGGAAUUGCAUUGGAGACUGCAAGGCUAGAAUCUGGCAGAGGGGGGUAGAAUUCCACGUGUAGCAGUGAAAUGCGUAGAUAUGUGGAGGAACACCGAUGGCGAAGGCAGCCCCCUGGGUCAAGAUUGACGCUCAUGCACGAAAGCGUGGGGAGCAAACAGGAUUAGAUACCCGUGUAGUCCC